This is a long non-coding RNA of Cyprinodon tularosa, 664 nucleotides long. RefSeq lists it as uncharacterized. Lineage: Eukaryota; Metazoa; Chordata; Actinopteri; Cyprinodontiformes; Cyprinodontidae. The record is from RefSeq and is a predicted model, not a curated record. The transcript is spliced from 4 exons.
CUCUAACGUUCUGCUCUCUCUGCUUUUUCUCAUAGUAGCUUCAUCUGGUCUGUUCCUGUUUGGCUGUGACUCCAUCCUGGAGAGAAAUGAGCCUUCUCCUUAGAUAGAACACUUUGAACCAAUCUGCCUGUAUGAUCUGGUUGAAUUGUUUCUAUAAAGUGACCUGCGAUGGCAUGUGUAGGGAAUUCAAGCUAUAGAAAUAAACUGAAUAGAAUUGAACUUCUGAAACUGAAUGUAAUUGAAGUAGCGCUUCUUUCUUACAUGAUAUUCAAAUCAAGGCUUUCCUCAGCUGAGGGCUGGGUCCGUUUUAUCAGAUUUGCUUCUGCUUAUUUAAGGAGAUUCUUCCUCACACACAUCUCCACCCUCUCGUUGGUUGAGAAAUAACAGUUUGGUGAAUCUUUCAGUUCUAUGUCCUUGGAAAGAAUGAAGAGUCCUUUUCUGGUUGUUGGGACACUUUUCCUGCUGUCCAUCACUGGCGGGGAGAAUUAUGAAUUCAGGGACAUAAUUGCUUUUCCCAAAGUUAUGGGUUGUAAAUGUAAGUCCAUUACCUACAAGCACUAUGCCAUUUAUGUAGGGAAGGAGGAAUUUAAAGGAAAGAAAACUGAUGAAGACAUCUUUCACCUCACAGGUCCAGUCCAGUCAGCUAAGAAAUUAGCUGACUGUG